Molecule: ribosomal RNA, 499 nt
Filed under: Enterobacteriaceae bacterium 'ARUP UnID 215'
Lineage: Bacteria; Pseudomonadati; Pseudomonadota; Gammaproteobacteria; Enterobacterales; Enterobacteriaceae
Description: bacterial SSU rRNA
Rfam family: Bacterial small subunit ribosomal RNA
Source: RNAcentral
GGCUCAGAUUGAACGCUGGCGGCAGGCCUAACACAUGCAAGUCGAACGGUAACAGRAAGCAGCUUGCUGCUUKGCUGACGAGUGGCGGACGGGUGAGUAAUGUCUGGGAAACUGCCCGAUGGAGGGGGAUAACUACUGGAAACGGUAGCUAAUACCGCAUAAUGUCGCAAGACCAAAGAGGGGGACCUUCGGGCCUCUUGCCAUCGGAUGUGCCCAGAUGGGAUUAGCUUGUUGGUGAGGUAAUGGCUCACCAAGGCGACGAUCCCUAGCUGGUCUGAGAGGAUGACCAGCCACACUGGAACUGAGACACGGUCCAGACUCCUACGGGAGGCAGCAGUGGGGAAUAUUGCACAAUGGGCGCAAGCCUGAUGCAGCCAUGCCGCGUGUGUGAAGAAGGCCUUCGGGUUGUAAAGCACUUUCAGCGGGGAGGAAGGCAGYACGGUUAAUAACCGUGCUGAUUGACGUUACCCGCAGAAGAAGCACCGGCUAACUCCGUGCC